RNAcentral lists this long non-coding RNA (4460 nucleotides) under Anas platyrhynchos platyrhynchos (common mallard). RNAcentral describes it as "lncRNA (ENSAPLG00000016680.1)". Lineage: Eukaryota; Metazoa; Chordata; Aves; Anseriformes; Anatidae. The record is from RNAcentral.
UGGGAAAAACUCUGCCUGGGUGACUUCAGCUCCCUGGCGUGGGUGCGAGAGGAGCUGAUUUCUGCCCCAGACCGUGGCUGAUGUUGCAGCGGAGAGGACACGGGGCCGUGGGGGGCCGCAUCCAGCCUCCCUGAGGAUGCCCGAUGGGGCGAGCGGGUGCCUCGGUCGUGGACGUGAGCCCCACAGGUGUUUUGAGCCGAUGGGCCCCCCUGCUUUUCAUGGUCUUCGACCUUUAAAGGCUGGAGCUGCAGCCCUCUCUCUUUCAGCCGUGUACCUGCCACGCUGCUGGAGUGGGAAAUCCCGCCAGGGCGCCUCGUGGACGCGUCUCUUCCCUAAACCAUCCUUACCUCCUUUCCCCGCUAGACCGAGUUACCUUCUGAUAGACUCUUGCCACGUGCUGGGCCGUGCUUUGGCAGAUGGGCUCGCCUCUUGCUUUGGCAACUUCCUCGCUUCUCCCAGCUCUCUGGUUUCCAUGCCCUUACGGGGUUUCUCUCCUCUCCUCUCCUCCCGCGGACCUGGGACAUCGAAGCUGUGCCAGACGAUGCCAAACGUUUUCCCCCAUUCCAUCCCUGUUUGAACUCCGUUUUGUUUUGGUUGUUUGCAAACACGGCUGCUGCUGCUUUUUUUCCUUUUUCUUUCAUGCUGCAAAAUAUAUCUUGAUUUUUUUUAUCUUCAUGGGCCAAACUCUCUUAUUUUGUAAGCUUGUCCGAGGUAGAUGGUUCUUGCUGCGGUGGUAAACGUGUGGUUCCUCCUUGCAUGGCGCAAACGCGAUGCGUUCCAUUAGGUCUCAUGCAACGAGCUGGGCUGUGGUGGAUAAAAUGCUUCUGUGCCUGAUGAGGGCAUUGUCCUUGGGCUGUGCCAAUGUGUCCGUGCAGCGAGCACCAGCUCUGGGGGCCCGGUGCUGCUGGUGGGUGGGAGCAGUGCCCUAGGUAGGGGUGUCUGGUGGGCUCUGCCCACUGCAGCCAGGCUGUGGGGCUGGGGGAGCACCGAGGCUGCUGCAGGUUUGUUCUGCAAGCAUUAGGAAGUGAGAAACGGGCAGGAUACAGAUGCCCCAAGCUGGGGGUGGAUAACGUAGAGAGGUGUGGACCCCUUGAAAGGGUGGCUGUAGGGUGCCAUCCUGCGCACCCUGCACAUAAAAUUGGUGCUUUCCCUUUGCAGGCAGGUCUGGAUGUGGAGAUGUGCUGCCUGGUUUUGUGGCAGGAGCUGUUGAGCGAUCUAGGCCAGGUAUUUUUCAGGUAACUUUGCUGUGCAAACCCACCGAUGGCUUGGGUUUUGUUUUUUUGAUGGUUUGGUUUUGCAGUGUUUACGUGAGCGAAAACGCAAGUCAGUGCCAGUGGGGAGAGCAGGAGGGUUUUGUGGCUGCUGGUAGGGCUCUGUUCCUGUGCCUGCCUGGGGCUGCGUGCACGGGCACUGAGAUGGGGUCUGUAGGAUGGGAGCCUGGAGCUCUCUUUGCAGCCCUCUCAUGGAUCUGCACCCUGACCCUGGGCUGAAGGCUCCAGGAGGUGCCAGGGGCACCUCUGGCACAGGAGGGCACCUUGUGGUGCCGCUGGUGUGGGUGGCUCCACGUGGAAGCCCCCCAUGCAGAAUGGGCCCCGUUUGCUCCCGGGAUGCUGGGAAGUGCUUGUGUGCGUACCUGGUGAUUUUCCUAGGGCAGGGAGUUCCCUGUUGCUGCUGUGUGUUGGUUACUUGGGGUUUCGAGGCUGUUCUGGGUGGCUGGUGGGCAUGAGGCUGAUGUGCGCUUCCUUGUCACCCUAUCCAGUGCCACCACGCUGUGCUUGUCACUGCCCGUGAGGGAGUUUUGGCAGGUGCCAAACUGCAGGGAAAGGUUUGCCCAGAAGGACUUCUGCUUUGGUUUCCCCCUCUCUAUAAAGAGAGUAACAGCCCUGCUGUGCCUACCUACAGGGGUGCUGAGGGCUUAGGGCUUGUGCUGAGCUCUCUGGCUGAGUCACAUCUGUGGCACCUGGGCAUGACACACGCCUCUCGGCUUACUGCUGCUCACAUCCUGCAGUUUGGGUUAGGAUGAAAUGUGCCUGGCAUUUUGGUUUCCCCUCCUCCUCAAGGCAGUGAGGGAGAAUUUGGAUUUCUCUGAGAUUUGGGCUGGUUUUGGCACGUGUUUUCCGCUGUGCUUCUGAGCUUGGGGUAUUUUUUCGGAGAGCAGGGAGGUUUUCCUGGGAGGCCUGAAGGCUUGCAGUCUGCAGGGGUUUCUCCACAUCCCGCUUGGGCUCGCUGCAGCCCUGAGCUGGCAGAGCUGAUGCUUUUUGUGUGGAAGGAAGUCUUUUCAAGGAGCCGGAGCUAAAAGCAAUGUAUAUAUGAGAUAUAAAUAUAUAGAGACGUGUAGGACAAGGGUAGAUAUGUAUGCGAAGUCUGGUAUAUUUGCAUGUAAAGGCAAUGUUUGUCUAUAGGGGGAGAGUGUUUAGAGCUCUGUUGGUAGUGGUGGGGGGGAUUGGGAUGGCCAAAGUCGGGCAGGGGGCGGGAGCAGCCAGGUUUGGGAUUUGGGAGCGGAUGGGCACAGGGCACCUCUCCACGCACCGUGGCAACAGGCCUGCCCUUCACUGUGUCCCUGUCCCUGCUACACAGGACCAGGUUUCUUUUUUAUGUUCCCCCCUUUAUUUUUGCUGUGUUCAUUGUACAUGACUCAUCAGUGGGCCGUGAUAAUGAGAAGGAGGUGGGAGCGAGGGGCCUUUUGCCUGCAUGUGGGGCAUUAAAGCGGAAAGAAACAUCACGUUGCCUCAGCUGUGGUGCCACUGCGAUCCUUCAAAGGGAAAGCAACGCCGUGCAGAAUCCCUUAUCUAAAAAUCCAUGUAGAUGCUGCUCUCUGGUUACUCACGUUAAAGCAUUUUGCUUUUGCAUCUGUGCUUCCCAGAAGAGCGUGAGUCAGACGAGAUGAGAGGGAUGCGGCUAAAUUGGCUGCGGAGCGCCGCGCGGGCAGGGCCAGGCUGUCCCAGCGGCGGUUCCUCUGCGGGACGAGAUGUUCUGCCUCCCUCCCAGGCGCCGUGUGGAGCCGGGUCUUUUUUUAAACUCAUUAGCAGGACUUUUUGGGGCAGGGGAUUCAUCCACCAAAGGCACCGGAGGCGACAUCAGAGCUCGCCUGCCCAAUGCGCAGCAGCGUUGCCGCUUUGCGCACUGAAUCAGGAGCCCCUUGCAGGGCACAAAGGCAGGCUGGACCCGCUGUGGUUGCAGGCAGUGAUGACGUGGGCUGAAAUUGCAAAGUGUGUGAUGGCUCUGGGCAUGGGGAUGGCUGAAUUAUUUUUUUUGGAUGCUCAUUGCCCACCAGGGAGCCCAUCCCCAUGCUGCUUCGGCAUGGGGUAACCCUUUAAAGGGGAUGUUGGCUCCCAUUUCCACCCUUCAGCUUGGUUUUGUUUUGUUUUUCUAGGUGGUUUUGCUUCUCUUUCUCUGUCCUUGCAGAGGAGAGGCUGUGAGGUGUAGCUGGUUCCUAUUAGAGGUGGUUGCUGAAAUCUGUUGGGAAAGCAUCUGUAGGGGAAAUGCACGAGCCAGGUACUGCAGGGCUGUUGCUGGCUGAGGAAGCAGCGAUGGCACGUGUGAUUUGGCACCUUCCGUGCACAGAAGAGAAGGAAGCUAGCACUGAUUUUUAUUUCCAUUAUGUCCACUGCUGCAUGCAGACUUCACAGCUUCAGGCUCCUGGGAGAGGCUGGAGGAUGGAGCCUGCUCCCCUCUCCGAGUGACUGGGAGGAGCUGGGGCCACACGAAGCAGUAUUUCCCCAAUUUCCCCAUUUCUGUGUUUUGGCCUGGCAGGUUUGUGCUGUCUAAACUGCCCAUCCCUUGUCGUGUGUGGCAGCGGGUGUCUCGCCCAGCGGUGCUGGGUGACCUCAGGACGUGUGCCCAAAGCAUCCCAAAUCCCUGGGGCUCUGGGUGAUUUUUGAUACGUGCAUGGACGGAUGAAGGACCGAAUAUGGGGAGGGGGCAGAGGGGCUGCUCAGGGUUUGGGGGUUUGGAUGCUGCAAGCAUGCGCCGUAGUGGUAGGUGAUAGGGGUUUUAUACUGGUUGCACUGGGGCAGGGUGUGCGGUACGGAGGGGCUGGCAUCCUUUAGUUUUUGCACUGGUCGGAGCAGGGGGGCGCAUGCCUGUCCCCUGCGGUGUCCCUGUGUGAGGCUGGGGGCUCUGGGGACACCAGGAACGGGGAGGGGGCUGCUGGGCACCGGCUCCAGCCACGCACAGCAGCCAGCCCCUGCUCAUCACCACGGGGGGGAGAAUUUGCCCAGGUUUUUGCUUAACCAUCGAAAUACCAAUUUCUCUCCCGGGGGGGAGUUUUGUGCCAGUUCUCUGCCGAGAGGGCUGCCAAGGGGGUGCCCAUCCUCAAGUCCCAGGCUUCAGCCCUGUGGUCUUGAAGCCCCUCUGUGAUUCCUGCCCACCCAGCACUUCAAAUAGGAAAUGACCAGAGAAACGAGCCCCAGUAUCUCUAUCUAAAUAAAGGAUAUUGGUGUAUCGAAACUGCGUUGUAU